CACUCCUGCGGGAGGCAGCAGUAGGGAAUCUUCGGCAAUGGGGGCAACCCUGACCGAGCAACGCCGCGUGAGUGAAGAAGGUUUUCGGAUCGUAAAGCUCUGUUGUAAGUCAAGAACGAGUGUGAGAGUGGAAAGUUCACACUGUGACGGUAGCUUACCAGAAAGGGACGGCUAACUACGUACCAGCAGCCGCGGUAAUACGUAGGUCCCGAGCGUUGUCCGGAUUUAUUGGGCGUAAAGCGAGCGCAGGCGGUUUGAUAAGUCUGAAGUUAAAGGCUGUGGCUCAACCAUAGUUCGCUUUGGAAGCUGUCAAACUUGAGUGCAGAAGGGGAGAGUGGAAUUCCAUGUGUAGCGGUGAAAUGCGUAGAUAUAUGGAGGAACACCGGUGGCGAAAGCGGCUCUCUGGUCUGUAACUGACGCUGAGGCUCGAAAGCGUGGGGAGCGAACAGGAUUAGAUACCCCAGUAGUCCC
This 471-nucleotide ribosomal RNA is filed under the name uncultured organism. RNAcentral describes it as "partial 16S ribosomal RNA". It matches the Rfam family "Bacterial small subunit ribosomal RNA", at positions 334 to 797 of the family's 1533-position model. The record is from RNAcentral.